Telopea speciosissima is the source of this 354-nucleotide long non-coding RNA. RefSeq lists it as uncharacterized. The transcript is spliced from 2 exons. The record is from RefSeq and is a predicted model, not a curated record. Lineage: Eukaryota; Viridiplantae; Streptophyta; Magnoliopsida; Proteales; Proteaceae.
AGUGGAUAUACUGACAUAAUCAUGUGAGAGGUGCAACUAGAUGAGAUGAUGGCGAGUUCCCAGUCCUGUAGGCUACACUUAGGGUUUUAGAUGAGCCCUUAUUGUUCUGCAUUUGUUAUCGGCCAAUUCCAUGGCAUAUACAGGAUAUGUGUGUGGGUUUGGGUAGCUUAAAGAAAGGGAUCUCAAAUGGAUAUAUUAAUAGAGUUAAAAAAAUAUGAGGGAUAGAUUACUACCCUCUCUUAUUUCCAAACAGUCACUUUUGAGAGGAGAGGGUUAGGAACUAUUAACCAUCGCUAACAUAGAUGAAGAAUUUCUAUCCUUGUGACUAAAUUUCUAAAUUUGCAUAAUUUUACU